This 72-nucleotide transfer RNA is filed under the name Pertusaria propinqua. RNAcentral describes it as "tRNA-Glu". It matches the Rfam family "tRNA". Rfam says of the family: Transfer RNA (tRNA) molecules are approximately 80 nucleotides in length. The record is from RNAcentral. Lineage: Eukaryota; Fungi; Ascomycota; Lecanoromycetes; Pertusariales; Pertusariaceae.
GGCCCAAUGGUCAAGUGGUUAAGACAGAACUUUUUCGCAGUUUAGACGUGGGUUCAAAUCCUGCUUGGGCUA